GAUCAUGGCUCAGAUUGAACGCUGGCGGAAUGCUUUACACAUGCAAGUCGAACGGUAGAGGGGGCAACCCCUUGAGAGUGGCGAACGGGUGAGUAAUAUAUCGGAACGUGCCCAGUCGUGGGGGAUAACGUAGCGAAAGUUACGCUAAUACCGCAUACGAUCUAAGGAUGAAAGCGGGGGACUCGCAAGAGCCUCGCGCGAUUGGAGCGGCCGAUAUCAGAUUAGGUAGUUGGUGAGGUAAAGGCUCACCAAGCCGACGAUCUGUAGCUGGUCUGAGAGGACGACCAGCCACACUGGGACUGAGACACGGCCCAGACUCCUACGGGAGGCAGCAGUGGGAAUUUUGGACAAUGGGCGCAAGCCUGAUCCAGCAAUGCCGCGUGCAGGAUGAAGGCCUUCGGGUUGUAAACUGCUUUUGUACGGAACGAAACGGUGAGCUCUAAUACAGUUUGCUAAUGACGGUACCGUAAGAAUAAGCACCGGCUAACUACGUG
Molecule: ribosomal RNA, 494 nt
Filed under: uncultured bacterium
Lineage: Bacteria
Description: bacterial SSU rRNA
Rfam family: Bacterial small subunit ribosomal RNA
Source: RNAcentral